RNAcentral lists this non-coding RNA (156 nucleotides) under uncultured Phyllobacterium sp. Its description in RNAcentral is "FMN riboswitch (RFN element)". It matches the Rfam family "FMN riboswitch aptamer (RFN element)". From Rfam's summary of the family: The RFN element is a highly conserved domain that is found frequently in the 5'-untranslated regions of prokaryotic mRNAs that encode for flavin mononucleotide (FMN) biosynthesis and transport proteins. This element is a metabolite-dependent riboswitch that directly binds FMN in the absence of proteins. Lineage: Bacteria; Pseudomonadati; Pseudomonadota; Alphaproteobacteria; Hyphomicrobiales; Phyllobacteriaceae. The record is from RNAcentral.
UGUUCUCAGGGCGGGGUGCAAUUCCCCACCGGCGGUAAUCACUGGGUGUCGAAAGAUGUCAGGUGCGAGCCCGCGAGCGCUUUCCGGUUUGCCGGAAAGGUCAGCAGAUUUCGGUGCAAUUCCGAAGCCGACGGUAUAGUCCGGAUGAAAGAGAAC